UACGGAGGGUGCAAGCGUUGUUCGGAAUCACUGGGCCUAAAGGGCGUGUAGGCGGUCCGCUAAGUCUGAUGUGAAAGCCCGAGGCUUACCCUCGGAAGUGCAUUGGAGACUGGCGGACUGGAGUCCCGGAGAGGAGGGUGGAAUUCCUGGUGUAGCGGUGAAAUGCGUAGAUAUCAGGAGGAACACCGGUGGCGAAGGCGGCCCUCUGGACGGUGACUGACGCUGAGACGCGAAAGCGUGGGGAGCGAACAGG
Molecule: ribosomal RNA, 253 nt
Filed under: uncultured bacterium
Lineage: Bacteria
Description: partial 16S ribosomal RNA
Rfam family: Bacterial small subunit ribosomal RNA
Source: RNAcentral